CCUACGGGAGGCAGCAGUGAGGAAUAUUGGUCAAUGGCCGAGAGGCUGAACCAGCCAAGUCGCGUGAGGGAAGACGGCCCUACGGGUUGUAAACCUCUUUUGUCGGGGAGCAAAGCGAGUCACGUGUGACUCAUUGAGAGUACCCGAAGAAAAAGCAUCGGCUAACUCCGUUCCAGCAGCCGCGGUAAUACGGAGGAUGCGAGCGUUAUCCGGAUUUAUUGGGUUUAAAGGGUGCGCAGGGGGAGGUGCAAGUCAGCGGUAAAAUUGCGGGGCUCAACCCCGUACUGCCGUUGAAACUGGGUGCCUUGAGUGCGCGAGAGGUAGGCGGAAUGCGUGGUGUAGCGGUGAAAUGCAUAGAUAUCACGCAGAACUCCGAUUGCGAAGGCAGCAUACCGGCGUGCAACUGACGCUCAUGCACGAAAGCGUGGGUAUCGAACAGGAUUAGAUACCCUUGUAGUC
RNAcentral lists this ribosomal RNA (459 nucleotides) under uncultured bacterium. RNAcentral describes it as "partial 16S ribosomal RNA". It matches the Rfam family "Bacterial small subunit ribosomal RNA", at positions 338 to 795 of the family's 1533-position model. The record is from RNAcentral.